GGCAUGGUGGCUUAGUGGUUAACCCUCUGGUACCUUGCACCUCUGUGGUUGGGGGUUCGAAUCCCACCUCUGCCC
Non-coding RNA from Ameiurus melas (black bullhead), 75 nucleotides. Lineage: Eukaryota; Metazoa; Chordata; Actinopteri; Siluriformes; Ictaluridae. The record is from the annotation of a GenBank genome assembly.